AAUAGGAUUUCUCAAGGGUGGUCAGCACACUUCCAGCAGAAAGGAGGUGAUGCUGCAUGACAGUAUUUGAAACAUUCAUGAUUACGAUUGCUUUUGCAAGCCUAGUCGUAGCGAUUCUGUCAUUUAACCAGAAAAAAUAAUCCACCCUUGAGUUUACCAGACCGAGGUGGAUUACUUUCUGCUUCAUGCUAAUUCCCUUAGAGGGAACCUACUAUUGCAAGGACCGUGUGGUGUACUAGCACC
This 243-nucleotide small RNA is filed under the name Neobacillus jeddahensis. RNAcentral's name for it is "BsrG". The stretch from base 1 to 216 matches the Rfam family "BsrG", at positions 1 to 231 of the family's 259-position model. From Rfam's summary of the family: bsrE, bsrG and bsrH pair through intermolecular interactions with antisense sRNAs. SR4 interaction with the 3'UTR of bsrG RNA promotes bsrG degradation and inhibits its translation. SR5 also overlaps bsrG from nucleotide 163 to 52 (Rfam overlap check). Lineage: Bacteria; Bacillati; Bacillota; Bacilli; Caryophanales; Bacillaceae. The record is from RNAcentral.